RNAcentral lists this ribosomal RNA (1377 nucleotides) under uncultured bacterium. Its description in RNAcentral is "bacterial SSU rRNA". It matches the Rfam family "Bacterial small subunit ribosomal RNA", at positions 38 to 1401 of the family's 1533-position model. The record is from RNAcentral.
AGCGACAGGCUUAACACAUGCAAGUCGAGGGGCAGCGGUGGUGAAGGCUUGCCUUUACCAGCCGGCGACCGGCGCACGGGUGAGUAACACGUAUGCAACCUGCCUGCCACAGCCGGAUAAUCGGGAGAAAUUCCGUCUAAUACGGCAUAAUGCACCUAUGGGACAUCCUGUUGGUGCCAAAGGUUGAUUCCGGUGGCGGAUGGGCAUGCGUCGCAUUAGUUAGUUGGCGGUGUAACGGACCACCAAGACGACGAUGCGUAGGGGUUCUGAGAGGAAGGUCCCCCACACUGGUACUGAGACACGGACCAGACUCCUACGGGAGGCAGCAGUGAGGAAUAUUGGUCAAUGGGCGGGAGCCUGAACCAGCCAAGUCGCGUGAGGGAUGACGGCCCUAUGGGUUGUAAACCUCUUUUGCCGGGGAGCAAAGUGCCGCACGUGUGCGGUUUGGAGAGUACCCGGAGAAAAAGCAUCGGCUAACUCCGUGCCAGCAGCCGCGGUAAUACGGAGGAUGCGAGCGUUAUCCGGAUUUAUUGGGUUUAAAGGGUGCGUAGGCGGACGCUUAAGUCAGCGGUAAAAUUGCGGGGCUCAACCUCGUCGAGCCGUUGAAACUGGGUGCCUUGAGUGGGCGAGAAGUACGCGGAAUGCGUGGUGUAGCGGUGAAAUGCAUAGAUAUCACGCAGAACUCCGAUUGCGAAGGCAGCGUACCGGCGCCCAACUGACGCUGAAGCACGAAGGCGUGGGUAUCGAACAGGAUUAGAUACCCUGGUAGUCCACGCAGUAAACGAUGAAUGCUAGUUGUCCGGGGCGAUUGAGUUCUGGGUGACACAGCGAAAGCGUUAAGCAUUCCACCUGGGGAGUACGCCGGCAACGGUGAAACUCAAAGGAAUUGACGGGGGCCCGCACAAGCGGAGGAACAUGUGGUUUAAUUCGAUGAUACGCGAGGAACCUUACCCGGGCUCAAACGCAGGAGGGAUGUUUUUGAAAGGAGGCAGCCAGCAAUGGUCUCCUGCGAGGUGCUGCAUGGUUGUCGUCAGCUCGUGCCGUGAGGUGUCGGCUUAAGUGCCAUAACGAGCGCAACCCCUACCUACAGUUGCCAUCGCGUGAUGGCGGGCACUCUGUGGGGACUGCCUGCGCAAGCAGUGAGGAAGGCGGGGAUGACGUCAAAUCAGCACGGCCCUUACGUCCGGGGCGACACACGUGUUACAAUGGCAGGUACAGCGGGAAGCCACCCGGCGACGGGGCGCGGAACCCGAAAACCUGUCUCAGUUCGGAUUGGAGUCUGCAACCCGACUCCAUGAAGCUGGAUUCGCUAGUAAUCGCGCAUCAGCCACGGCGCGGUGAAUACGUUCCCGGGCCUUGUACACACCGCCCGUCAAG